UCUGAGCCCAGGGAAGGAGAAGGAGCCCCCAGAGAAGCUGUACCAGGUGGGGCUGCUGCUGCAGGAGACAGCGAGGAUGACAUCAAGGAUGACAUGAAGGAUGACAACCUUGUCCUCAGCCUGGUCACCAGCAGUUGAAGAGGAAGCAUUCUGGUUAGUCCAGUCUGGAUCGGGAAGUGCUUGGGACCAGCUGUGGCAUGGAUGGGCCGUGCCCUUGGAGCAGGCUGAGGACAUCGUUUGGGACCGGCUUUUCUUCCAGCCGUGGAUGGCGAGAGCUGGGCUCUGCUGGUGCUGAAGUUUCUCUGGGCUCUGCCAGGGCUCUGCUGGGCUCAGCCCUGGGCACUGCUGGGCUGGCUCUGCCCUCACAUUGCUCUGACAGCUUUGCAUCAGACGAGCCCGUUCCGAGCACAGCACCUGAGCUUUCUGCUUUGGCAGAAGUGCCACGAGUGGGCCAAACGUGGCAAGUGGGCCGUGUUCCUGAGGCAGUGCAGUCUGGAGCUGCUGGAUGGAGAAUUGCCCUGCUGCACUUCCAAACCAGAGCAAAGAGCUAAAACAUGUCCUGUAAAAGGAAUGUCCUUUGCUCCUGGUUCCCGUGUGGAGCAGCUCCCUUCCCGCUGGCUGGGCUGCUCAGGCAGAGCCCGGCAGCUCCUGGCCCUGCAGGGCUGAGGCUUUUCCCCACUGCUGGGCACAGACUGAUGGAGCAGCACUGCUGAACACAGGCACACAGAGGGACCAGGAGCAGCUGCCUUUGGCCACCUGAGGCUCCAAGGCCCAAACUCUGAGCAGCCAGGGCUGGAAGAGACUCGCAGGCUCCCUGGUGGCUGUGCUGCCCCACUUGUGCCUGGCCCAGCUUUGCUUGGGGCAGAGGGAGAACAAGGGGCAGCUCCCUCCCAGCCCAGCCCAGGGACCCCUCCAGCCCCGGGGCUUGGGGCACUGUCAGCACCUGCUGCUCCAGCCACCACUCCUGCUGGCCCUGACAGCAACACCCAGAUUGGGGCUGAUCCCGAGUGAGCAGCAGCAGGGCCUGGAUCUGAUCCCUGACUCUGGGGCAUGGCUGGACAAAUGGCCCCGCAGCAGCAGCACAUGGAGCUGACUUUCAGCACAGCCCCUGCCACUCUUCCCUCCUGUGUGCAGCAGUGUCACAGCAGCCUGAGGCACCUGGGAGCCCCCAGUGCCAGCAGGGACUUGAGAUGGCAGCCCUGGGCUCCUGGAGGUUGUGCAAGGAAUGGAGCUGGGGACUCCCUGUCCAUGGGAAGCUUCCAGAUGGAAAAGGCUGCUGUGUCCAGGCAGCUCCAAGGCCACAGCAAGGAGGGUCUCAACCACUGGAUCUGUGCCAGUCCUACAGUCCUGGGCAGAAGCCACUGAGCCCUGGGGGAACAGAGGGCACAGCAAGAGGGACAAAACCAGGCCAGGUCAGAGACUGGAGAGAGCCAGAGCCGGGAGCAGGAACAGCUGCUCCAUUGCACUCUUGGAAAAACCCCUUGGCUGGUUCAAAGCGCUGAAAGGUGUGAAGGGCAGAGAGGAGGCCACAGCAAACAAUGCUCCUGUUUCCACACCCUCUCCUCUCUGUCCCAGAAGAAAUUGCAUGGACUGUACUCAUCUCUCCGAGUCAUCUCGUUCAGCAUGAGCAGCUUAGCACCAGGAGCUGAAGGAGCAGCAGCCAUAGGCCACAGGAGCUGAACACUUUUGGAGCAAAGUAAUGCUGCUCAAAUAGACCUAGCUGAAUGCAGCAGAUAUAAUAAUGGAAUCACAGCAUCCUUUCUGUUGGAAAAGACCUCUGAGCUCAUCCAGUCCAGCCGGUCACCCAGCAUUGCCAAGCCCAGCACUAAACCCUGUCCCUGAAGUGCCAAGGCCUGGACAGCAGGCCCUGAGCCAAAGGUGACUUCUGGAUGAACCUUCCAACCAAAGGUUAUCUCUGUAUCUGCUCACUGAUGAAAUAUGCAUGGUCAUUAGCACUGUGAUAGAUGUAGCCACUCAUUAGUAAAACAUGUAUUGAUGUUUUUGUAUUUGCAAGCCAGACAAGGCCAUGAAAUCUGACAUCUGGCCUUGUUUGGGGCUGAAGGAUCAAAGUCAGCUCCCUUGAUUCCUCCUUGAGCCCUGGCCAGGCUUUGGGAGAAACCAAUCAGGAGAAUGAAACCAGAUGUUCCCACCCUAGCAGUGAUGUCAGCUUGUUUGUUUGACGGUAUAAAAGCUGUGUCCUCUCACAGUGGGCUUGGAGCCUGGUUGCCUGCAAAGGUGGAAGCAUCUGCAGGAAUUCCCAGUGUCUGGGAAUGGCUCUGCCGUCCUUGUCUGCCCCAGCUGAUGUGUGGAUCUGGGGGAUGGUAAAGUCUGAGGGUAACUGGUGGUGGAUCUUUCUUUAAUCACUGCAGGCAAUCUUUGGUAGUAAUGACUGGAUGGAUUGCUGAGCUUCUUUUGUAAUUCUUUUCUAAUGAU
This is a long non-coding RNA of Passer domesticus (house sparrow), 2433 nucleotides long. RefSeq lists it as uncharacterized. Lineage: Eukaryota; Metazoa; Chordata; Aves; Passeriformes; Passeridae. The record is from RefSeq and is a predicted model, not a curated record. The transcript has 5 exons.